CCCAGGAGCAACCCUUCCACCCAAACGUCCUCUGAGAGGACAAAUCACCUCCAGUUGAGAGCACUGGUCUAAAGGAUCUUCCCAGCUGUUCGAAAAGAAAAAACAACCAUCAAUUCUUCCCAACCAGGUGUCUCCUGAGAUCCCAAAAUGUGGGUCAUAGCAUCCCUGUAAUGCGAUUUUGCUUUGUGGCUCAGCUUACUGCUAGUACUGUCUGUGCUGAUGAAGUCUCUUCUCUGGCUAAUCUUCUGAGCAUCUACUUUCUACCUUUCGGGGAGUGGAAGAGGGGUAGUUAUGUGGGUAUGUUGGGAGUGGGUGGGGCCCUAUUUCAACCCUGCAUCCUACCCAGUGACCAACCGCACUCCAAAUUCUGAGCUUUUCCACGUUUGCAUCUCUGCAGACACUUGUGUCUUCUCUGUCUCCCGAGUCUUUUACCUUUUCUGCAUCCAUUUUCUGUCUUCAUAUUUUGAGAUUUGCAAGUGCACAUGUCUCUACUUUUGUUAAAGGUGGAGUUUGGAUUUAUUUUCUUGUUUUCAUUGUAUUGGAAUAAUUUCUGCCUUAUCUGAUGUGAUGGUCCUUCAUCGGAGAAAAGAUGGUGAUGAUGAACCAAGGCUGGGAGAAGGUGGAGCCAGGCUUCGGAAGGCUCCCAGGACAAAGUGCAGGAGGAAACGGGGAGGCCCCACAGACUCAGUCACAAUUAAGUCAGAAUUCUCUCAGGCUUGCUACAUUGUGAUGUCUAUCGGAGAUAGAAGACCUGCCUGGCUGGGUCUCAAAUGAGUCAGGACAGACUUCCACCUGUAACUGAGCCUCGUCCCUGACUGUCACCUCAGAAAUGAAGGAAGGUGGGCGUUUCGGGUGGGGAGAAGUGGCAGGCAGGAGUGGCUGCAGAGCUGACCGUGAGGGACACUCCUUUCUCUGUCCUCUCCUGCUAGGAUGGGGCAGAGGACAGUCCACUACCCACUGCCCCGGGCGCGGAGCUCUCCUCACAACAGCCCUACCACCAGCCACUCUAGGGCUAAUGGAGACUGAUUUUAGGCAGAGGAAGACGGACCCUUCCAGAUGUUUCUGGCCUCCUCCUCUCCUGGGCCUCUUCCUCUCGUUCCUGGCAUGUCUUAAUCCUCCUGGUGGAAGUCUCCCACCUUUCAGGAGGACCUGUUCACCAGGACCCCUCAUCUCCGUGUCGUCUACACCUUCCACGGUGAAGGACACGCUCUCAGCCCUGUGUGGUGUCUUGAACGUGUGCACCUGUAUAACGUCUUCCACAGAAUUUGGUGAGCAAUUGAUUCUGGAAGAAACACGGUGGAGAUCUUCCCCAAGACUGGGGUGCUCAGAGGGAGCCCUCCCGUGGAGCUCAGCUCACAGCACCAGGCUAACUCAGGUUUCUGGGGCGGCGGCCUGUCCCGCCUCAGCCUGCCGGGGACGCCAUGUGGACGCCACGCUGCUCGACUGGCACAGAGGGACCGCAGGCGCCCGGUUCUCGGGCCUCUGAGGCUGGAGCCAGGGUUAGUGCCACUGUCUGGUUCAUCAAACGCUGCAGAGGCCGUGAGGAAGGCUGGCUUUCUCCAGCAAACCCCAUGCUCCCUUGUUCACUGUGAGACCUGGCAGCUGUCUGGAUUUACUUCUCACAAAUCACUUGUUCUACUUUCUGUAUCUUAUCAGAGGGGAAAUUGUGGAAUAAAACCUUUCAGGAUCUAGGAUGCUGGCGGCUGACUGGAUCUGGGAAGGCCCUCCUGGUACCUGGCCCUGCCUGCCUGUUCAGUCUAUGGGCCGGCCAAGCUGUAACACCACUAUGAACAGGAGUGGAAACAUGGGGGAGCAUCAGGUCACACCCCGACACUUGUCACAUGUCGGCUUCAUCAAAUGUGACAUUUACUUCGUGGGUGAGUUUUAUCCAGAUGUUCCUAUCCGUGAUUUUCUCAUUAGUUCUUGACCUGCCUUAUUGGAAGGGGAAGACGGGCAGAUGACCAGGCUGCUCGUGUUGCUUCAUUGGGUCGGGACGGCAGUUGUUCCGUUGGCCAUUCCUAGUAGUGUCACCCUGGCUCUUACGUUCUUGACCUAAAGAACUCCCGCUGGAAUACACGAAACUCCACCGGAAAGAGAGGUGACACAUGUCAAGUGCAUUUUGUGACACUGGUAGUUCUCCGCUCUUUAAGAAAAAUAUAAACACUGUGGUAUACUGGGCCUGCAAUUUAUACUUCUGAAGCCAGAUCAUAUCUGUGACCUCUUUUAACAUGAAAAGGAAGAAAAUCAAUAGGUGCAAAGAUGUGUGACCAUGAGAGCUGAUAAGCUAAUGUGCGCUUCCCUGAGCCUACGAUUUUCUGUCACUCCUGGUUCACAGAACUCACUCUGCACGUGUGCAACCCAGGGGGAGCCCUGUGCACCCGCCUCACCACCCUGCCUGUGAUGGAUGCGGCGCCUGGCAUCUGGGAAAGGUUACCGCGUUGAGAGAGCAUCGCAGCCGCCAUUCUUUCCUCCGUGUUCUCUGUUUGCAUCGUUGGGGUGAAGAAGCAGCUGCAGCAGGUGGCAGCGUCCUCUGGCCUGAAGACGUGGGGAGGAGAUGGGAGAUUCCCUCCGGAGCUGACAAUCUGAUUGGGUUCUGUGUGAACAAGCCGUUGACCUUCCUGCUUCCUUUCAGCCCCAUAGCCUGGGGUAGGACGCAGUUCUGUGUUGGUCACUCGUGUUCAGCCUGCACACGGGGCUCAGAGCCUGGACUCGUGCUCCCUCGCCAGAACCAAGGGCUUUCCCGGGAGAGUGGAGUCAGCGUGAACGCCUGACAGAUGCUCUGAGCGCUGAGUGGAAAGACUUCUGCACUUGUGACACGUAUUUAUAGGAGUUACGUUAAAAUCCUUCUCACACAAUUCCAACCUCUGGCUUAUCUGGUAUCGUUACCCAUUGAUUGUCUUUUAUCAUUCAAGUUGUGAUUACUUUGACUCUUUGUAUGAUAAAUGAUUUUGGAGUGAAGCCGGACAUUUUGGGUAUUAUAUUGAGACUUUGGGUCCUUUUUAAUCUCCCUUUUGUUUUUGGGUAAGGAAGGUUGGCCCUGAGCUAACAUCUGUUGCCAAUCCUCCUGUUUUUGCUUGAAGAAGAUUGUCACUGAGCUAACAUCUGUGCCAGUCUUCCUCUAUUUUGUGUGUGGGAUGCUGCUGCAGUAAGGCUGAUGAGCAGUGUGUAGGUCCAUGCCUAGGAUCUGAA
This is a long non-coding RNA of Equus caballus (horse), 3189 nucleotides long. The record is from Ensembl. Lineage: Eukaryota; Metazoa; Chordata; Mammalia; Perissodactyla; Equidae.